RNAcentral lists this non-coding RNA (912 nucleotides) under Pongo abelii (Sumatran orangutan). The record is from RNAcentral. Lineage: Eukaryota; Metazoa; Chordata; Mammalia; Primates; Hominidae.
ACCACGUGGAGGAAAAGCACGCGAGUUUGGAGGGGGUGGAGCAGGAACAGAGGUGGACUGGAAUGUCACACGACGGGGCAGCUGGAAGUGCACAGAAACACUCUCCACACCAAGCUGCUGCUGCUGGGGGAUGGAGGGAUGGCGUCAGCGAUUCAAGACUGUUUUUCCUACCUGUUCAGCGCUUCUUUCAGCGAUAUGAAGUUAAAUCCAGUCCUCACUGUCCCCAGAAGGAAGAGAGGCACACAGAGCUCCCCAGUCACUGGAAUCCAGGAAGAAUUAAGGUGCUCAAGACCCACCACCUCUUUGCCUGCGAACUCUAAGCUCUCUGUCCUGCUCCCUUGCUCCCAGAAGUGGCACUGGAUGGAUCCCAUCCAGGUCAGCCCAGGCUGUUAUUUCCUCCCCUUCUGUACCUAAUCCCAGUGAGAUGAAGAGUUUACACGUGUUUCUCACUUGAAUCAGGGAAGUCUAGUUUGCAUUCUCCUGACUGGAUGGGCCUGGGGAAGGCAGAGACUGCAUUGAAUCUUUCAUCUCAUUGGUCUGGGGAUUUGGUUCCGAAGAUCAAUACCUUCCAGAAUCUUCCUGUCUCUCCCCAAAUUCUGGACAGUUCUGUUUCCAGCACUCAUCCAUGAUAGGGGGGUACAGGAAAUGAGUGUCGAGGGAAAGGCAUCCCACCUUCUCUCUGUUCCACCUUCCAGAUCUGACAACUCACUGGAAAGUUCUUCUCUGUGUCCCUGUCCCCCGUCUGGUUCUGAGGCCGCCACUUUCCCCAGCCUUGGUGCCUUGGGUUUUUCUGCUCUGUGAAAUGAACAAGGUCCAUUAUCCUGUUCUCCCCUGAAGAAAAGAGGGUGUGGGGGGCUUGGCACAGGAAAUGGCCCUUGCCUUUCACAGGCUUUGGGGUCUGAGGGCAGCUCU